UACGAGGGGUCCUAGCGUUGUUCGGAAUCAUUGGGCGUAAAGCGGGUGUAGGUGGAUUUUUAAGUCAGAAGUGAAAGCCCCGGGCUUAACCCGGGAAGUGCUUUUGAUACUGAAGAUCUUGAGUGUGGGAGAGGAUAGUGGAAUUCCUGGUGUAGUGGUGAAAUACGUAGAUAUCAGGAGGAACAUCGGUGGGGAAGCCGGCUGUCUGGCCCAACACUGACACUCAGACCCGAAAGCGUGGGGAUCAAACAGG
RNAcentral lists this unclassified non-coding RNA (253 nucleotides) under uncultured Pseudobdellovibrionaceae bacterium. Its description in RNAcentral is "uncultured Bdellovibrionaceae bacterium contains 16S-23S intergenic spacer region". It matches the Rfam family "Bacterial small subunit ribosomal RNA", at positions 524 to 776 of the family's 1533-position model. Lineage: Bacteria; Pseudomonadati; Bdellovibrionota; Bdellovibrionia; Bdellovibrionales; Pseudobdellovibrionaceae. The record is from RNAcentral.